GGCGUGUCAAGCGUGUACCUUUUCACUUUGCGGGUAUCGUACAGGCCACCUCCAGAGUCGGAUGAAGAUUUGAGGUACGAUGAGCCGGUGUGGAGCUCAAGUUUGGAAACGGCCGCCUCCAAAGCGGACUACAGGGAAUGUACUGAUGUCCACACCGCCCACGUGUUCUUUUCUGUCGAGCACAGGUCCCCGAGGCGGCUUCGGAUCUCUGCUGUCACCGACGCUACUGAUUUUUUUUUCGAGGAUCAGCAGCUGGAAGAUGUGCUGAAGCAUCUCCAUCAGUAGAGCGUUUUGAGGAAGGGAUGCAGUCAGUGC
Molecule: long non-coding RNA, 315 nt
Organism: Corvus hawaiiensis (hawaiian crow)
Lineage: Eukaryota; Metazoa; Chordata; Aves; Passeriformes; Corvidae
Exons: 4
Source: RefSeq, a predicted model, not a curated record